This 439-nucleotide ribosomal RNA is filed under the name uncultured bacterium. RNAcentral's name for it is "bacterial SSU rRNA". It matches the Rfam family "Bacterial small subunit ribosomal RNA", at positions 477 to 916 of the family's 1533-position model. The record is from RNAcentral.
ACCAUAUGAAUAAGGAUCGGCUAACUCCGUGCCAGCAGCCGCGGUAAAUACGGAGGAUCCGAGCGUUAUCCCGGAUUUAUUGGGUUUAAAGGGUGCGUAGGCGGACGUUUAAGUCAGCUGUGAAAGUUUGAGGCUCAACCCUAAAAUUGCAGUUGAUACUGGGCGUCUUGAGUAUAGUGGAGGUUAGCGGAAUUCGUGGUGUAGCGGUGAAAUGCUUAGAUAUCACGAAGAACUCCAAUUGCGAAGGCAGCUGACUAUCCUAUAACUGACGCUGAUGCACGAAAGUGUGGGUAUCAAACAGGAUUAGAUACCCUGGUAGUCCACACAGUAAACGAUGAAUACUCGUUGUAGGCGAUAUAGUGUCUGCGACCACGCGAAAGCAUUAAGUAUUCCACCUGGGGAGUACGCCGGCAACGGUGAAACUCAAAUGAAUUGACGG